RNAcentral lists this ribosomal RNA (227 nucleotides) under uncultured crenarchaeote. RNAcentral describes it as "partial 16S ribosomal RNA". It matches the Rfam family "Archaeal small subunit ribosomal RNA", at positions 694 to 920 of the family's 1478-position model. Lineage: Archaea; Thermoproteati; Thermoproteota. The record is from RNAcentral.
ACGGUGAGGGAUGAAAGCUGGGGGAGCAGACCGGAUUAGAUACCCGGGUAGUCCCAGCUGUAAACUAUGCAAACUCAGUGAUGCAUUGGCUUGUGGCCAAUGCAGUGCUGCAGGGAAGCCGUUAAGUUUGCCGCCUGGGAAGUACGUACGCAAGUAUGAAACUUAAAGGAAUUGGCGGGGGAGCACCACAAGGGGUGAAGCCUGCGGUUCAAUUGGAGUCAACGCCU